UACGAAGGGUGCAAGCGUUACUCGGAAUUACUGGGCGUAAAGCGUGCGUAGGUGGUUUGUUAAGUCUGUUGUGAAAGCCCCGGGCUCAACCUGGGAAUGGCAAUGGAUACUGGCAAGCUAGAGUGCGGUAGAGGGGUGUGGAAUUCCCGGUGUAGCGGUGAAAUGCGUAGAUAUCUGGAGGAACACCGGUGGCGAAGGCGGCAUCCUGGACCAAUAUUGACGCUGAGGAGCGAAAGCCAGGGGAGCAAACGGG
This 253-nucleotide ribosomal RNA is filed under the name uncultured bacterium. Its description in RNAcentral is "partial 16S ribosomal RNA". It matches the Rfam family "Bacterial small subunit ribosomal RNA", at positions 524 to 776 of the family's 1533-position model. The record is from RNAcentral.